GGGCGAAUGGUCUAGGGGUAUGAUACUCCCUUCGCACAGUCUCAGUCAAGACUCAGACAACGUGGUUUGGGAGGGGUCCGGGGUUCAAUUCCCCGUUCGUCCA
Molecule: non-coding RNA, 103 nt
Organism: Xylaria intraflava
Lineage: Eukaryota; Fungi; Ascomycota; Sordariomycetes; Xylariales; Xylariaceae
Source: the annotation of a GenBank genome assembly